RNAcentral lists this transfer RNA (76 nucleotides) under Caudoviricetes sp. RNAcentral's name for it is "tRNA-Leu". It matches the Rfam family "tRNA". From Rfam's summary of the family: Transfer RNA (tRNA) molecules are approximately 80 nucleotides in length. Lineage: Duplodnaviria; Heunggongvirae; Uroviricota; Caudoviricetes. The record is from RNAcentral.
GGUCGCAUGGCUCAGUUGGUAGAGCACAUCGUUCAGAUCGAUGGGGUCACAGGUUCGAGUCCUGUUGCGACCACCA